This 1533-nucleotide long non-coding RNA is filed under the name Bos mutus (wild yak). Its description in RNAcentral is "lncRNA (ENSBMUG00000018501.1)". The record is from RNAcentral. Lineage: Eukaryota; Metazoa; Chordata; Mammalia; Artiodactyla; Bovidae.
GCGUCCCCUGAACUGCCAGGUAGAUUCUUAACUGCUGGACCACCAAGGGAGUCCCUGGUCAAAUAUUUUGGAAUAUGCUUCCGAGGGUUAAUGAUAAUGGCUUGUAGGAUUAUUAGAAGGAUCCAGUGAGUUAAUGUCUCCUAUAAAAUGACCAGCAAACCUAUUAGUAAUAAUAUUAAUAACAGCAACAUGCCCAAAAAACAAACAAAAAAAAAAGCGAGGAAAAAAAGGGCGAAAAAGGAAAGAAGAAAACAAAAACAACAAAAACAGGCCAAUUGUCCUUCUUUGGCUUCACUGAAUAGCCUCUGGCUUGUCCCCCAGGCCCCUCAGGACUCAGUUUCCCCAUCUCCAAGCUCUCUAGGCCCCUGCCCCGCUCCCAGUGGCCAGCUUGGCAGGUGGGGCUCUAUCCACCCCGCCUAUUUGCUCUCCCUCUUCCAGGGCUGACACCCUAGACAAGGCCCUUGAAUAAAAGGCCAGGGCACCUUGGUCCUUCUUCCUCCUCUCCAGCCUGGAUCAUGUUCUGGCUCCCCCCACUUCUAGUGCUCCUGGGAGCGCUGGCAGUCCCAGAAGGGACCACCAAGACGUGUCCAGUCUGCCCUUUGCUGGGAAACUGCAUAGAGAAAACCUGUCCUCCGGCCCAGGACGCCUGCUUGCUUAGCCAGUUGCAGCUGGCAAAUGGGACUGUCAUCAAGAAUGGGUCCUGCGUGGCCCCUGGGGACUGUCGAAAAGAUGUCUACUCCUUGACCUACGGUCCUGGCUUGAGUCUCUGGAUCCGCACAGCCUGUUGUGAAGACAACUGUAGCAGUGUUACCCCACAAGAAGCAAGACCCAGAGCCCAGCCCAACGGGCUACAGUGCCAUUACGGUCCCGGGAAUAAGUUGGCUCAGUGUGACUCCCUGUCGGUCAUGAACUGCACUGGAAACCAGACUGUGUGUUUCACCCUCAGUGGGACAUGGCAUGGAGGGACCCCCCAAACCCUGAAAGGCUGUGCUACACCAGAGAUCUGCCACCUGCAAGCAAACACCACGCUGGGCCCAGAAGCGUCUGGAUUUCGUCUCAUCACCAAGCCCGAAUGCAGCCGUGUGACUCCUACUACCCAGCCAGGUCCCUACACAGCCCACAGCAAGGCUAAGGUCACCACGUGCUUCACCUGCUCAGACCUCCACCAUUGCAACCCUCUCCCCUGCACUGAAGAUAGGAACCACUGCCUUCAGACGGUGGGCGUCACAGUCCUAGGCGCAACUAACUCUGUCGCUUGGAGAAAUGGUUCCUGUGUGGCCUCCAAGGAUUGCACACCUGCCAACUCCAUCUCUGCCUUGACCUACAGCAUUGGUUUCGGCUUCUGGGUCAACACCACCUGUUGCCAAGGCAACUGCCAAGAGCCCAGUCCUCUUGCCGCUCUGCCAGCCUCAAGCACCCUGAGUAAGUUCCUGUGUCCUACAUGUCCUGGGGGCCACUCGGGGCCCUGCAGCCCCUCCUUCUACAUGCAGUGUCCCAGCAGGGAGACCGAGUGUAUCCACGUAAAUCUGGUGU